This 1497-nucleotide ribosomal RNA is filed under the name metagenome. RNAcentral describes it as "bacterial SSU rRNA". It matches the Rfam family "Bacterial small subunit ribosomal RNA". The record is from RNAcentral.
AGAGUUUGAUCAUGGCUCAGAUUGAACGCUGGCGGCAGGCCUAACACAUGCAAGUCGAACGGUAACAGGAAGAAGCCUGCUUCUUUGCUGACGAGUGGCGGACGGGUGAGUAAUGUCUGGGAAACUGCCUGAUGGAGGGGGAUAACUACUGGAAACGGUAGCUAAUACCGCAUAACGUCGCAAGACCAAAGAGGGGGACCUUCGGGCCUCUUGCCAUCGGAUGUGCCCAGAUGGGAUUAGCUAGUAGGUGGGGUAACGGCUCACCUAGGCGACGAUCCCUAGCUGGUCUGAGAGGAUGACCAGCCACACUGGAACUGAGACACGGUCCAGACUCCUACGGGAGGCAGCAGUGGGGAAUAUUGCACAAUGGGCGCAAGCCUGAUGCAGCCAUGCCGCGUGUAUGAAGAAGGCCUUCGGGUUGUAAAGUACUUUCAGCGGGGAGGAAGGGAGUAAAGUUAAUACCUUUGCACAUUGACGUUACCCGCAGAAGAAGCACCGGCUAACUCCGUGCCAGCAGCCGCGGCAAUACGGAGGGUGCAAGCGUUAAUCGGAAUUACUGGGCGUAAAGCGCACGCAGGCGGUUUGUUAAGUCAGAUGUGAAAUCCCCGGGCUCAACCUGGGAACUGCAUCUGAUACUGGCAAGCUUGAGUCUCGUAGAGGGGGGUAGAAUUCCAGGUGUAGCGGUGAAAUGCGUAGAGAUCUGGAGGAAUACCGGUGGCGAAGGCGGCCCCCUGGACGAAGACUGACGCUCAGGUGCGAAAGCGUGGGGAGCAAACAGGAUUAGAUACACUGGUAGUCCACGCCGUAAACGAUGUCGACUUGGAGGUUGUGCCCUUGAGGCGUGGCUUCCGGAGCUAACGCGUUAAGUCGACCGCCUGGGGAGUACGGCCGCAAGGUUAAAACUCAAAUGAAUUGACGGGGGCCCGCACAAGCGGUGGAGCAUGUGGUUUAAUUCGAUGCAACGCGAAGAACCUUACCUGGUCUUGACAUCCACGGAAGUUUUCAGAGAUGAGAAUGUGCCUUCGGGAACCGUGAGACAGGUGCUGCAUGGCUGUCGUCAGCUCGUGUUGUGAAAUGUUGGGUUAAGUCCCGCAACGAGCGCAACCCUUAUCCUUUGUUGCCAGUGUCCGGCCGGGAACUCAAAGGAGACUGCCAGUGAUAAACUGGAGGAAGGUGGGGAUGACGUCAAGUCAUCAUGGCCCUUACGACCAGGGCUACACACGUGCUACAAUGGCGCAUACAAAGAGAAGCGACCUCGCGAGAGCAAGCGGACCUCAUAAAGUGCGUCGUAGUCCGGAUUGGAGUCUGCAACUCGACUCCAUGAAGUCGGAAUCGCUAGUAAUCGUGGAUCAGAAUGCCACGGUGAAUACGUUCCCGGGCCUUGUACACACCGCCCGUCACCAUGGGAGUGGGUUGCAAAAGAAGUAGGUAGCUUAACCUUCGGGAGGGCGCUUACCACUUUGUGAUUCAUGACUGGGGUGAAGUCGUAACAAGGUA